UACGAAGGGUGCUAGCGUUGUUCGGAAUCACUGGGCGUAAAGCGCGCGUAGGCGGCGACACAAGUCAGAGGUGAAAUCCCAGAGCUUAACUCUGGAACUGCCUUUUGAAACUGUGUUGCUAGAGUACUGGAGGGGAGUGGGGAAUUCCUAAUUGUAGAGGUGAAAUUCGUAGAUAUUAGGAGGAACACCGGUGGCGAAGGCGCCACUCUGGACAGUAACUGACGCUGAGGCGCGGAAAGCGUGGGGAUCAAACGG
RNAcentral lists this ribosomal RNA (255 nucleotides) under uncultured bacterium. Its description in RNAcentral is "partial 16S ribosomal RNA". It matches the Rfam family "Bacterial small subunit ribosomal RNA", at positions 524 to 775 of the family's 1533-position model. The record is from RNAcentral.